Molecule: ribosomal RNA, 1161 nt
Filed under: Metarhizium sp. 1 AM-2020a
Lineage: Eukaryota; Fungi; Ascomycota; Sordariomycetes; Hypocreales; Clavicipitaceae
Description: SSU rRNA
Rfam family: Eukaryotic small subunit ribosomal RNA
Source: RNAcentral
UGUAGUCAAUAAGGGCUGUCUCAAAGAUUAAGGCCAUGCAUGUCUAAGUAUUAAGCAAUUUAUUAACACGCCGAAACUAGCGAAUAGGCUCAUUAUAUAAGUUAUCGUUUAUUUGAAUAGUACCUUACUACUUGGAUAACCGUGGUAAUUUCUAGAGCUAAUACAUGCUAAAAAUCCCGACUUCGGAAGGGAUGUAUUUAUUAGAUUAAAAACCAAUGCCCCUCGGGGCUCUCUGGUGAUUCAUAAUAACUUCUCGAAUCGCACGGCCCUUGCGCCGGCGAUGGUUCAUUCAAAUUUCUUCCCUAUCAACUUUCGAUGUUUGGGUAGUGGCCAAACAUGGUUGCAACGGGUAACGGAGGGUUAGGGCUCGACCCCGGAGAAGGAGCCUGAGAAACGGCUACUACAUCCAAGGAAGGCAGCAGGCGCGCAAAUUACCCAAUCCCGAUUCGGGGAGGUAGUGACAAUAAAUACUGAUACAGGGCUCUUUCGGGUCUUGUAAUUGGAAUGAGUACAAUUUAAAUCCCUUAACGAGGAACAAUUGGAGGGCAAGUCUGGUGCCAGCAGCCGCGGUAAUUCCAGCUCCAAUAGCGUAUAUUAAAGUUGUUGUGGUUAAAAAGCUCGUAGUUGAACCUUGGGCCUGGCUGGCCGGUCCGCCUCACCGCGUGUCACUGGUCCGGCCGGGUCUUUCCCUCUGUGGAACCACAUGCCCUUCACUGGGCGUGGCGGGGAAACAGGACUUUUACUUUGAAAAAAUUAGAGUGCUCCAGGCAGGCCUAUGCUCGAAUACAUUAGCAUGGAAUAAUGAAAUAGGACGUGCGGUUCUAUUUUGUUGGUUUCUAGGACCGCCGUAAUGAUUAAUAGGGACAGUCGGGGGCAUCAGUAUUCAAUUGUCAGAGGUGAAAUUCUUGGAUUUAUUGAAGACUAACUACUGCGAAAGCAUUUGCCCAGGGAUGUUUUCAUUAAUCAGGAACGAAAGUUAGGGGAUCGAAGACGAUCAGAUACCCGUCGUAGUCUUAACCAUAAACUAUGCCGACUAGGGAUCGGACGAUGUUAUUUAGUUGACUCGUUCGGCCACCUUACGAGAAAUCCAAGUGCUUGGGCUUCCAGGGGAAGUAUGGUUUUCGCCAGGGCUGAAACUUAAGAAAUAUUUGACCGGAAGAA